UGUUGGGUCUCACGCAACGUAGCUUUGUGAAACCCGUCAGAUCCGGAAGGAAGCAGCGGUAACAAAUUACUAUGUGUGCUGUGAGUUACCCAACAACU
RNAcentral lists this signal recognition particle RNA (98 nucleotides) under Nitrospinota bacterium. RNAcentral's name for it is "signal recognition particle sRNA small type". It matches the Rfam family "Bacterial small signal recognition particle RNA". From Rfam's summary of the family: The signal recognition particle (SRP) is a universally conserved ribonucleoprotein involved in the co-translational targeting of proteins to membranes. The record is from RNAcentral. Lineage: Bacteria; Pseudomonadati; Nitrospinota.